Octodon degus (degu) is the source of this 98-nucleotide small nucleolar RNA. RefSeq annotates it as small nucleolar RNA U13. The record is from RefSeq and is a predicted model, not a curated record. Lineage: Eukaryota; Metazoa; Chordata; Mammalia; Rodentia; Octodontidae. The transcript has a single exon.
AUCCUUUGGUUCAUAAGUGUGGUGACUGGGUAUUCAUGUCAUAUGCAUGAGAUGUGCCUCCCUCACACCUUGUUACAAUGUGGGCAUGUUAUCAGAAG